CCCGCACAAGCGGUGGAGCAUGUGGUUUAAUUCGACGCAACGCGAAGAACCUUACCAGGUCUUGACAUCCCGAUGCUAUUUCUAGAGAUAGAAAGUUACUUCGGUACAUCGGUGACAGGUGGUGCAUGAUUGUCGUCAGCUCGUGUCGUGAGAUGUUGGGUUAAGUCCCGCAACGAGCGCAACCCCUAUUGUUAGUUGCCAUCAUUCAGUUGGGCACUCUAGCGAGACUGCCGGUAAUAAACCGGAGGAAGGUGGGGAUGACGUCAAAUCAUCAUGCCCCUUAUGACCUGGGCUACACACGUGCUACAAUGGUUGGUACAACGAGUUGCGAGUCGGUGACGGCGAGCUAAUCUCUUAAAGCCAAUCUCAGUUCGGAUUGUAGGCUGCAACUCGCCUACAUGAAGUCGGAAUCGCUAGUAAUCGCGGAUCAGCACGCCGCGGUGAAUACGUUCCCGGGCCUU
RNAcentral lists this ribosomal RNA (461 nucleotides) under uncultured Streptococcus sp. RNAcentral's name for it is "bacterial SSU rRNA". It matches the Rfam family "Bacterial small subunit ribosomal RNA", at positions 920 to 1382 of the family's 1533-position model. The record is from RNAcentral. Lineage: Bacteria; Bacillati; Bacillota; Bacilli; Lactobacillales; Streptococcaceae.